RNAcentral lists this ribosomal RNA (301 nucleotides) under uncultured bacterium. Its description in RNAcentral is "partial 16S ribosomal RNA". It matches the Rfam family "Bacterial small subunit ribosomal RNA", at positions 509 to 807 of the family's 1533-position model. The record is from RNAcentral.
CAGUCGCCACGGUAAUACGUAGGUGGCAAGCGUUGUCCGGAAUUAUUGGGCGUAAAGGGCUCGCAGGCGGUUUCUUAAGUCUGAUGUGAAAGCCCCCGGUUCAACCGGGGAGGGUCAUUGGAAACUGGGAAACUUGUGUGCAGAAGAGGAGAGUGGAUUUCCACGUGUAGCGGUGAAAUGCGUAGAGAUGUGGAGGAACACCAGUGGCGAAGGCGACUCUCUGGUCUGUAACUGACGCUGAGGAGCGAAAGCGUGGGGAGCGAACAGGAUUAGAUACCCCCGUAGUCCCUGUCUCUUAUAC